AGAGUUUGAUCCUGGCUCAGAACGAACGCUGGCGGCGCGCCUAAUACAUGCAAGUCGAGCGAGAAGGUGUAGCAAUACACUUGUAAAGCGGCGAACGGGUGAGGAAUACAUGGGUAACCUACCAUCGAGUGGGGAAUAACCAGCCGAAAGGUUGGCUAAUACCGCGUACGCCUCCGGAUCUACGGAUUCGGAGGGAAAGCCACACUGUGAGUGUGGCGCUCUUUGAUGGGCUCAUGUCCUAUCAGCUUGUUGGUAGGGUAACGGCCUACCAAGGCUUUGACGGGUAGCUGGUCUGAGAGGACGAUCAGCCACACUGGCACUGCGACACGGGCCAGACUCCUACGGGAGGCAGCAGUAAGGAAUAUUGCGCAAUGGGCGAAAGCCUGACGCAGCGACGCCGCGUGGGGGAUGAAGGUCUUCGGAUUGUAAACCCCUUUCGGGAGGGAAGAUGGAACGAGUAAUCGUUCGGACGGUACCUCCAGAAGCAG
RNAcentral lists this ribosomal RNA (488 nucleotides) under uncultured bacterium. RNAcentral describes it as "bacterial SSU rRNA". It matches the Rfam family "Bacterial small subunit ribosomal RNA", at positions 8 to 490 of the family's 1533-position model. The record is from RNAcentral.